Molecule: ribosomal RNA, 412 nt
Filed under: uncultured bacterium
Lineage: Bacteria
Description: bacterial SSU rRNA
Rfam family: Bacterial small subunit ribosomal RNA
Source: RNAcentral
GGGCCCGCACAAGCGGUGGAGCAUGUGGUUUAAUUCGAUGAUACGCGAGGAACCUUACCAGGGCUUAAAUGCAGAGCGACAGAGGUGGAAACACCUCCUUCUUCGGACGGUCUGCAAGGUGCUGCAUGGUUGUCGUCAGCUCGUGCUGUGAAGUGUCGGGUUAAGUCCCAUAACGAGCGCAACCCCUAUUUCUAGUUGCCAGCGGUUCGGCCGGGGACUCUAGAGAAACUGCCAGCGUAAGCUGUGAGGAAGGUGGGGAUGACGUCAAAUCAUCACGGCCCUUACGUCCUGGGCCACACACGUGCUACAAUGGUAGGUACAGAGGGAAGCCACCCCGCGAGGGGGAGCGGAUCUACAAAACCUAUCUCAGUUCGGAUCGGAGUCUGCAACUCGACUCCGUGAAGCUGGAAUC